UGCUCCCAGACCGUCAGCGGCGGACGGGUGAGUAACACGUGGGCAACCUGCCUGUAAGACUGGGAUAACUCCGGGAAACCGGGGCUAAUACCGGAUAACUCUUUNCCUCACAUGAGGAAAAGCUGAAAGAUGGCAUCUCGCUAUCACUUACAGAUGGGCCCGCGGCGCAUUAUAUAGUUGGUGAGGUAACGGCUCACCAAGGCGACGAUGCGUAGCCGACCUGAGAGGGUGAUCGGCCACACUGGGACUGAGACACGGCCCAGACUCCUACGGGAGGCAGCAGUAGGGAAUCUUCCGCAAUGGACGAAAGUCUGACGGAGCAACGCCGCGUGAGUGAUGAAGGUUUUCGGAUCGUAAAACUCUGUUGUCAGGGAAGAACAAGUACCGGAGUAACUGCCGGUACCUUGACGGUACCUGACCAGAAAGCCACGGCUAACUACGUGCCAGCAGCCGCGGUAAUACGUAGGUGGCAAGCGUUGUCCGGAAUUAUUGGGCGUAAAGCGCGCGCAGGCGGUUCCUUAAGUCUGAUGUGAAAG
This 536-nucleotide ribosomal RNA is filed under the name marine bacterium SIMO-1645. Its description in RNAcentral is "bacterial SSU rRNA". It matches the Rfam family "Bacterial small subunit ribosomal RNA", at positions 77 to 600 of the family's 1533-position model. The record is from RNAcentral.